CAGAAUAAAUUUAGCAUUUAAACAAUGUCCAAACUCCCUAGAGCACCUCGAUACAGAAAUUUCUUUUACAGGUAUGUUUUGCUGCACCCCAGUUCAAGAACUUUGUUCAUUCGCCAUGUGAAACAACCAAAGGAUGACUAUUUACAUCGAAAUGUUAAACACACCCACAUGAUUUAAAAUGCUUAUAUCAAAGAAGCAAAAUAUUUAUAGAAAUUUAAUUAUAUUUUCCCUUUCUCGGCUUUUCUCGCGGUAGGUAUUCCAU
Paramuricea clavata is the source of this 262-nucleotide non-coding RNA. The record is from the annotation of a GenBank genome assembly. NCBI's taxonomy places the organism in Eukaryota, Metazoa, Cnidaria, Anthozoa, Malacalcyonacea, Plexauridae.